UACGUAGGGGGCAAGCGUUGUCCGGAAUCAUUGGGCGUAAAGAGCGCGUAGGCGGCCAGAUAAGUCCGGUGUGAAAGUCACAGGCUCAACCUGUGAAUGCCGCUGGAAACUGUCUGGCUAGAGUCCGGAAGGGGCGAGUGGAAUUCCUGGUGUAGCGGUGAAAUGCGCAGAUAUCAGGAGGAACACCAAUGGCGAAGGCAGCUCGCUGGGACGGUACUGACGCUGAGGCGCGAAAGCGUGGGGAGCGAACAGG
RNAcentral lists this ribosomal RNA (253 nucleotides) under uncultured bacterium. RNAcentral's name for it is "partial 16S ribosomal RNA". It matches the Rfam family "Bacterial small subunit ribosomal RNA", at positions 524 to 776 of the family's 1533-position model. The record is from RNAcentral.